AAAAUUCCAAUUAACAGAUAUUACUCAAUUUAUCUAAAAUUUAAACCACUGGAUAAAAUGCAAAUUAAUUUAUUUGUUAUAACAUUUAUUACCCAUAGAAAGCCAUAAUUAUAACACUUAUUUAGUUACUGCAUUAAGUAACAUAGAGAAGCUAAAUUCUGACACUUAUUUAGUUACUGAAUCAAGUAAAGCAAAGGAUCCAAAUUCUAACACUUAUUUAGUUCGUUCCUAAUCAUCAAAAUCACCAUCUUAAUUAUAUUUCGUCCCAGUUGUUAACUUCCACCUCGAUGUCGUUUGCCCACAGGAAUACACGUUGACGUAUGUAUGUAUGGAUGCACAUCAACAGGAACGUUUAUCUCCAUAUACGUCCCAUGUGUUUUGAGUGCAUCUUUAAAUUCCUCGAAGUUUCGAGUUAUAACCACCGGAGGAGGAUCGUAGGGUGGAUUUUGGGGAUAUCUGAUGAAAUCACUCCUUCCGGAACUUGCAUUUUCAGCCUCAAUGUUUUCCACGAUGGCUAAGUAAGUUUCAGCUAAGACUGAUCUAAGAACUUGGAAUCUAAUUGGCUUAUCAUCUCCAAAAGCCUCCUCCCUUAGCUUCAUUCACUUCCUCUAGCGAUGAAAUCUCAACAUUAUGAAUAUUUUCUCUGUUCCAUUGUUGGAAAUUAAAGAAAAAUAAUUUAUUUCUUCUUCUAGUAAGUGUUUGAG
This 704-nucleotide long non-coding RNA is filed under the name Prunus persica (peach). RNAcentral's name for it is "long non-coding RNA (PPER_LNC003882)". Lineage: Eukaryota; Viridiplantae; Streptophyta; Magnoliopsida; Rosales; Rosaceae. The record is from RNAcentral.